RNAcentral lists this ribosomal RNA (497 nucleotides) under uncultured bacterium. RNAcentral's name for it is "partial 16S ribosomal RNA". It matches the Rfam family "Bacterial small subunit ribosomal RNA", at positions 28 to 507 of the family's 1533-position model. The record is from RNAcentral.
GAUGAACGCUGGCGGCGUACCUAAUACAUGCAAGUCGAGCGAACAGACGAGGAGCUUGCUCCUCUGACGUUAGCGGCGGACGGGUGAGUAACACGUGGAUAACCUACCUAUAGGACUGGGAUAACUUCGGGAAACCGGAGCUAAUACCGGAUAAUAUAUUGAACCGCAUGGUUCAAUAGUGAAAGACGGUUUUGCUGUCACUUAUAGAUGGAUCCGCGCCGCAUUAGCUAGUUGGUAAGGUAACGGCUUACCAAGGCGACGAUGCGUAGCCGACCUGAGAGGGUGAUCGGCCACACUGGAACUGAGACACGGUCCAGACUCCUACGGGAGGCAGCAGUAGGGAAUCUUCCGCAAUGGGCGAAAGCCUGACGGAGCAACGCCGCGUGAGUGAUGAAGGUCUUCGGAUCGUAAAACUCUGUUAUUAGGGAAGAACAAAUGUGUAAGUAACUAUGCACGUCUUGACGGUACCUAAUCAGAAAGCCACGGCUAACUACGUG